RNAcentral lists this ribosomal RNA (464 nucleotides) under uncultured bacterium. Its description in RNAcentral is "partial 16S ribosomal RNA". It matches the Rfam family "Bacterial small subunit ribosomal RNA", at positions 339 to 795 of the family's 1533-position model. The record is from RNAcentral.
CUACGGGGCGCAGCAGUGGGGAAUAUUGCACAAUGGGCGCAAGCCUGAUGCAGCCAUGCCGCGUGUAUGAAGAAGGCCUUCGGGUUGUAAAGUACUUUCAGCGGGGAGGAAGGGAGUAAAGUUAAUACCUUUGCUCAUUGACGUUACCCGCAGAAGAAGCACCGGCUAACUCCGUGCCAGCAGCCGCGGUAAUACGGAGGGUGCAAGCGUUAAUCGGAAUUACUGGGCGUAAAGCGCACGCAGGCGGUUUGUUAAGUCAGAUGUGGAAUCCCCAGGCUCAACCUGGGAAGCGCAUCUGAUACUGGCCAGCUUUCUUCUCGUAGAGGGGGGUAGAAUUCCAGGUGUAGCGGUGAGAUGCGUAGAGAUCUGGAGGAAUGCCGGUGGCGAAGGCGGCCCCCUGGACGAAGACUGACGCUCAGGUGCGAAAGCGUGGGGAGCAAACAGGAUUAGAUACCCCGGUAGUC